RNAcentral lists this ribosomal RNA (408 nucleotides) under uncultured bacterium. Its description in RNAcentral is "bacterial SSU rRNA". It matches the Rfam family "Bacterial small subunit ribosomal RNA", at positions 976 to 1381 of the family's 1533-position model. The record is from RNAcentral.
UGGUCUUGACAUAGAAAGAACUUUCCAGAGAUGGAUUGGUGCCUGCUUGCAGGAGCUUUCAUACAGGUGCUGCACGGCUGUCGUCAGCUCGUGUCGUGAGAUGUUGGGUUAAGUCCCGCAACGAGCGCAACCCUCGUCGUUAGUUGCUAACAGUUCGGCUGAGAACUCUAACGAGACUGCCUACGCAAGUAGGAGGAAGGUGAGGACGACGUCAAGUCAUCAUGGCCCUUACGACCAGGGCUACACACGUGCUACAAUGGGGUAUACAAAGAGCAGCAAUACGGUGACGUGGAGCGAAUCUCAUAAAACCUCUCGUAGUCCGGAUCGGAGUCUGCAACUCGACUCCGUGAAGUCGGAAUCGCUAGUAAUCGUGAAUCAGAAUGUCACGGUGAAUACGUUCCCGGGCCU